RNAcentral lists this ribosomal RNA (233 nucleotides) under uncultured bacterium. RNAcentral's name for it is "partial 16S ribosomal RNA". It matches the Rfam family "Bacterial small subunit ribosomal RNA", at positions 544 to 776 of the family's 1533-position model. The record is from RNAcentral.
UCCGGAGUUACUGGGCGUAAAGGGCGUGUAGGCGGUUUGUUAAGUCUGGCGUGAAAGCUCUCGGCUAAACCGGGAGAGGUCGUUGGAUACUGGCAAACUUGAGGACGGUAGAGGCGUGUGGAAUUCCGGGUGUAGUGGUGAAAUGCGUAGAGAUCCGGAGGAACACCAGUGGCGAAGGCGACACGCUGGGCCGUACCUGACGCUAAAGCGCGACAGCAUGGGGAGCAAACGGG